GAGCAUCAGGUGCCUGCUGGGCAGUGGGAUUGGAGGACUCAUUAACAUACGAUGUUGCUUCCGAACAUGUAAGGACCGCCAGCAGUAGUAACCAGUUCCAUAAACGAAAAGCCAUAAACAUUGCAGGACCCAUGCCUGUGCGACUCUGACUUCGCACCUGGGUCCUGAUGUAUGCCACGCCUCUGCGGCACGGGUUUCUGGAACUAAACCAUCCUACCAGGCAAGAACCUAGAAUGAGGCACUUCAGCAAGUUGACACUUCAAGGAGGCCAAAGUCCUGUACUGUCUGUGUCCCUUCAAUCCCAGAUUUUAGAGUCAAC
RNAcentral lists this long non-coding RNA (319 nucleotides) under Mus spretus (western wild mouse). RNAcentral's name for it is "lncRNA (ENSMSPG00010029214.1)". The record is from RNAcentral. Lineage: Eukaryota; Metazoa; Chordata; Mammalia; Rodentia; Muridae.